This 847-nucleotide long non-coding RNA is filed under the name Homo sapiens (human). RNAcentral describes it as "HSALNT0167706". The record is from RNAcentral. Lineage: Eukaryota; Metazoa; Chordata; Mammalia; Primates; Hominidae.
GGGUUCUCUAGAGGGACAGAACUAAUAGGAUAUAUGUAUAUAUGAAAGGGAUUUUAUUAAGGAGAAUUGACUUACAUGAUCACAAGGUGAAGUCCCACGAUAGGCCAUAUGCAAGCUGAGGAGCAAUGUAAGCUGUGGAUACUACCUGUCUUAGUCUAAUGGGGCUUCUAUAACAAAAUACCAUAAACUAGAUCACUUAUAAAAGCAGCUAUAAAUAUUAGUUUGGCCGGGUGCCCUGGAGUCAUAAGAAGUGAGGGGUAAUUUUAGGUCUUGACUACUCUGUCGGCAACAAAAGCCUUAAUUGGCAAUCAAUGUGUGUAAAGCCAUUUAGGAAAGAAUGAGUGGGCUGCACGUGGCCACAGGCUGCUCCUACAGUGGGAUCACAGGGAACUUGCUCGAGAAUCUGAUGUUAGAGGAUGUUUUACAGCUCCUGUUGCCAAAGCAGUAAGCAGCUUCGUGGGACAAAAAACAAUAGUGCAUGAUUAGACAGACAACUGCAACCCCUUGACACUUAAUUCCAGAAAUCAUUUAAGAAUCACUUGAAAAAGGAAUAUAUUAUUGUUCUCCUUCCAAUAACCAAGUGUCUUCUGAAAACCUUUCAUUGUCACUUUCUGGUAAUUGAACAAUGAGAACACAUGGACACAGGAAGGGGAACAUCACACACUGGGAACUGUUGUGGGGUGGGGGGAGGGGGGAGGGAUAGCAUUGGGAGAUAUACCUAAUGCUAAAUGACGAGUUAAUGGGUGCAGCACACCAACAUGGCACAUGUAUGCAUAUGUAACAACCCUGCACAUUGUGCACAUGUACCCUAAAACUUAAAAUAUAAUAAUAAUAAAAUUUAAAAAAA